Gekko japonicus is the source of this 266-nucleotide long non-coding RNA. RefSeq lists it as uncharacterized. The record is from RefSeq and is a predicted model, not a curated record. The transcript is spliced from 3 exons. NCBI's taxonomy places the organism in Eukaryota, Metazoa, Chordata, Lepidosauria, Squamata, Gekkonidae.
GGAGGCCUGAACUAGUGGGCACAGGAACCAGCUGGGAAUGAGCUCAUCCACGGAGCAGAAGAGGGGAGGGACUACAGGAUGGAGAUCUAGGGAGAAGUCAUCAGAUUUCUUUUUGGACUGUGAUGUGUGGUUGUAUAUGAAUAACCUGAAAAGGAAAAUAAGACAGAAAUGGCAAACUGCAGACAACCGCACAUGUCAAUUCCGAAAUGGAUUUUAAAAAAUACUUCAAACUGUACAGCAGAGAACAGCAAACCUACAAAACAACA